UACGUAGGAGGCAAGCGUUGUCCGGAAUUACUGGGUGUAAAGCGCGUGUAGGUGGUGGGCCAAGUCUGUGGUGAAAUCGCCCGGCUCAACUGGGCGAGGUCCGUGGAAACUGGUCGACUGGAGGACGGUAGAGGCGAGUGGAAUUCCCGGUGUAGUGGUGAAAUGCGUAGAGAUCGGGAGGAACACCAGUGGCGAAGGCGGCACUCUGGGCUGGUACUGACGCUGAGGAGCGAAAGCGUGGGGAGCAAACAGG
Molecule: ribosomal RNA, 253 nt
Filed under: uncultured bacterium
Lineage: Bacteria
Description: partial 16S ribosomal RNA
Rfam family: Bacterial small subunit ribosomal RNA
Source: RNAcentral